CGUCCCGGGAAAGUCAUUGCCCGCGGAGACUGUACAGUGGCCCUGGCACAGGUAUCACAGGGUCCUGGGUGGGUUAAAUCAAAGCCCACUGAAGCGGGCAGUGAGGGUCGGUGUGUGUGGAACUUAUCUCAGUAAGAGUGGCUGCUCAUGAAACUGUGCCCCAGAGAUCGUAAAGGUCCGUGGAAACCAUAUUUCAAAAUAAGGAGGUGCCUGGUGAAGCACUGUCACAGUGUCACGGCCAGGGAAAUCAAACUCUGGUCAAAGAGGCAGCGCUUUUGGAAACUGGACAUUGAGCAUGAAAUCACUAACCUCAGGAGUCAGUGUGUGUGGGACCCGUCCCCCAGUGAGGGUCGGUGUGUGUGGGACCCGUCCCCCAGUGAGAGUCGGUGUCUACUGAAUAGAAAAAGGGGAAAAAAGAAAUCCGCAUUGAAAAUAAGAUUCAAAAGCUGGAAUGAUUUAUUACUUCGGUGCCUUAAUAUAUGCUGAAUUCUCAGUGCUGAGAGUUGCCAUGGUUACAGCGCCCAGCCUGCAGAUUACAGCCAUCUCUCAACCACUUACUGCAGCAGCGGACCUCCCCAACCAGCGCCCAUCACCGGCGAGGAGCGGCAGGGCUCCGGAGCAGGGACGUGGAUCGGGCUCAGGUCCGGCAUCUCUCACAGGAAGAGCUGAGGUUCUGGUGGCCUGAACAAUGCGAGCUGCACAUUCGCCGUCCUAGGCCAGUCAACGUCCUCUGGUGGUUAAAACUCUCGGAGAAGUUUAAAAAGAUGCUGCUCGGCCCGCUGAGUUCCUCCACCAGUUUGCCUUUGAUUUGGCCAAAGGAAAAACAAAUAGCGAAGGAGGAGUGUGGGAAUGGACGUGAAAGAAUACUUUUGAGCACAAUUGAUGUGGAUGUAGUCAUGGGCUUCCCUCCAUUCAUCGAUGUUGGGAGUUUAUCACUUUAAGAGAGCACGGGGGCCUGUCACUUUAAGAGAGCACGGGGG
This is a long non-coding RNA of Pristis pectinata (smalltooth sawfish), 980 nucleotides long. RefSeq lists it as uncharacterized. The transcript is spliced from 3 exons. Lineage: Eukaryota; Metazoa; Chordata; Chondrichthyes; Rhinopristiformes; Pristidae. The record is from RefSeq and is a predicted model, not a curated record.